Molecule: ribosomal RNA, 592 nt
Filed under: Ganoderma australe
Lineage: Eukaryota; Fungi; Basidiomycota; Agaricomycetes; Polyporales; Polyporaceae
Description: partial large subunit ribosomal RNA
Rfam family: Eukaryotic large subunit ribosomal RNA
Source: RNAcentral
UAGAUGAAAAAAACUUUGAAAAGAGAGUUAAACAGUACGUGAAAUUGCUGAAAGGGAAACGCUUGAAGUCAGUCGCGUUGUCCGGAACUCAGCCUUGCUUUUGCUUGGUGCACUUUCCGGAUGACGGGUCAGCAUCGAUUUUGACCGUCGGAAAAGGGCUGGAGUAAUGUGGCACCUCCGGGUGUGUUAUAGACUCUGGUCGCAUACGGCGGUUGGGAUCGAGGAACGCAGCGCGCCGCAAGGCAGGGGUUCGCCCACUUUCGCGCUUAGGAUGCUGGCAUAAUGGCUUUAAACGACCCGUCUUGAAACACGGACCAAGGAGUCUAACAUACCUGCGAGUGUUUGGGUGGAAAACCCGAGCGCGUAAUGAAAGUGAAAGUUGAGAUCCCUGUCGUGGGGAGCAUCGACGCCCGGACCAGACGUUCUCUGACGGAUCCGCGGUAGAGCAUGUAUGUUGGGACCCGAAAGAUGGUGAACUAUGCCUGAAUAGGGUGAAGCCAGAGGAAACUCUGGUGGAGGCUCGUAGCGAUUCUGACGUGCAAAUCGAUCGUCAAAUUUGGGUAUAGGGGCGAAAGACUAAUCGAGCAUCUAG